Molecule: ribosomal RNA, 468 nt
Filed under: uncultured bacterium
Lineage: Bacteria
Description: partial 16S ribosomal RNA
Rfam family: Bacterial small subunit ribosomal RNA
Source: RNAcentral
GACGAACGCUGGCGGCGUGCUUAACACAUGCAAGUCGAACGGAAAGGCCCUGCUUUUGUGGGGUUCUCGAGUGGCGAACGUGUGUGUAACACGUGAGUAACCUGCCCUUGACUUUGUGAUAACUUCAGGAAACUGGGGCUAAUACCGGAUAGGAGCUCCUGCUGCAUGGUGGGGUUUGGAAAGUUUCGGCGGUUGGGGAUGGACUGGCGGCUUAUCAGCUUGUUGGUGGGGUAGUGGCUUACCAAGGCUUUGACGGGUAGCCGGCCUGGGAGGGUGAACGGGCACAUGGGGACUGAGAGACGGACCAGACUGCAACGGGAGGCAGCAGGGGGGAAUAUUGCACAAUGGGCGGAAGCGUGAUGAAGAAACGCCGCGUGCGGGAUGACGGCCUUCGGGUUGUAAACCGCUUUAGCCUGUGACGAAGCGUGAGUGACGGUAAUGGGUAAAGAAGCACCGGCUAACUACGUG